This 254-nucleotide ribosomal RNA is filed under the name uncultured bacterium. Its description in RNAcentral is "partial 16S ribosomal RNA". It matches the Rfam family "Bacterial small subunit ribosomal RNA", at positions 524 to 776 of the family's 1533-position model. The record is from RNAcentral.
UACGUAGGGGGCGAGCGUUGUCCGAAGUUACUGGGCGUAAAGCGGACGUAGGCGGCUAUUUAAGUCUGUGGUGAAAGGUUCAGCGCUCAACGUGAACAUUGCCCUGGAUACUGGAUGGCUUGAGUCUGGCAGGGGGUAGCGGAAUUCCUGGUGUAGCGGUGAAAUGCGUAGAUAUCAGGAGGAACACCGGUGGCGAAGGCGGCUACCUGGGCUAAGACUGACGCUGAGGUCCGAAAGCGUGGGGAGCGAACGGG